GAUGAACGCUGGUGGCGCGCCUAACACAUGCAAGUCGAACGGCACCCCUCUCCGGAGGGAAGCGAGUGGCGAACGGCUGAGUAACACGUGGAGAACCUGCCCCCUCCCCCGGGAUAGCCGCCCGAAAGGACGGGUAAUACCGGAUACCCCGGGGUGCCGCAUGGCACCCCGGCUAAAGCCCCGACGGGAGGGGAUGGCUCCGCGGCCCAUCAGGUAGACGGCGGGGUGACGGCCCACCGUGCCGACAACGGGUAGCCGGGUUGAGAGACCGACCGGCCAGAUUGGGACUGAGACACGGCCCAGACUCCUACGGGAGGCAGCAGUGGGGAAUCUUGCGCAAUGGGGGGAACCCUGACGCAGCGACGCCGCGUGCGGGACGGAGGCCUUCGGGUCGUAAACCGCUUUCAGCAGGGAAGAGUCAAGACUGUACC
RNAcentral lists this ribosomal RNA (431 nucleotides) under uncultured bacterium. RNAcentral's name for it is "bacterial SSU rRNA". It matches the Rfam family "Bacterial small subunit ribosomal RNA", at positions 28 to 479 of the family's 1533-position model. The record is from RNAcentral.